Molecule: non-coding RNA, 507 nt
Organism: Pelobates cultripes (western spadefoot toad)
Lineage: Eukaryota; Metazoa; Chordata; Amphibia; Anura; Pelobatidae
Source: the annotation of a GenBank genome assembly
GUGUGUAUGCCAGUAUGUCUGUGUGUGUGUAUGCCAGUAUGUCUGUGUGUGUGCCAGUAUGUCUGUGUGUAUGCCAGUAUGUCUGUGUGUCUGUGUGUGUGUGUGUGUGUCAGUAUGUCUGUGUGUGUCUGUGUGUGUAUGUCAGUGUGUGUGUGUGUGUGUGUGUGUGUCAGUGUGUAUGCCAGUAUGUCUGUGUGUGUGUGUGUCAGUAUGUCUGUGUGUGUAUAUGUCUGUGUGUGUGUGUGUGUGUGUCAGUAUGUCUGUGUGUAUGCCAGUAUGUCUGUGUGUGUCUAUGUAUGUCUGUGUGUAUGCCAGUAUGUCUGUGUGUGUCUAUGUAGGUAUGUCUCUGUGUGUGUGUGUGUGUGUGUACGUGUGUGUCAGUAUGUCUGCCAGGAUAUAUUUGUGUGUCAGUGUAUGUGUGUGUCAGUAUGUAUCUGUGAAUGUUUUAAUGUCUGUCUGUGUGUAUGUGCCAGUACGUCUGUCUGUGUGUAUGUCAGUAUGUCUGUG